GAUAUCGACGCUUUAACGGAUAUUGGAGAAUUGUGGGCAAGAAAGUACAUUAAUGAUAUAGAAUCUGAAUACAAUAAAUUUCAUUUUUCUAAAACAAAGGAUAAUGUGCUAGAUGCAUUCAGCUCGUAUCUUCGCUGCAGUAGGUGGAUUUGUGCGAUGGGUAACCGAAAAGAUAUCCCACUCAUAGAUUACGUGGGUAAUAUCAGAACUCAGAUGAAUUUGGCUAAAUCUACGUGAAAUUCGACAUUCGUCAAUAUUAUAAUCCACUCCAAAAAUUAGCACCUGAAAUUCGUUCAAGUUCUGCACAUUACAAAUACGAUA
This is a long non-coding RNA of Planococcus citri (citrus mealybug), 321 nucleotides long. RefSeq lists it as uncharacterized. The record is from RefSeq and is a predicted model, not a curated record. The transcript has 4 exons. Lineage: Eukaryota; Metazoa; Arthropoda; Insecta; Hemiptera; Pseudococcidae.